GCGGUGGAGCAUGUGGUUUAAUUCGAAAGCUACGCGAAGAACCUUACCAGGUCUUGACAUCUUCUGCCAAUCUAAGAGAUUAGGCGUUCCCUUCGGGGACAGAAUGACAGGUGGUGCAUGGUUGUCGUCAGCUCGUGUCGUGAGAUGUUGGGUUAAGUCCCGCAACGAGCGCAACCCUUAUUGUUAGUUGCCAGCAUUCAGUUGGGCACUCUAGCAAGACUGCCGGUGACAAACCGGAGGAAGGUGGGGAUGACGUCAAAUCAUCAUGCCCCUUAUGACCUGGGCUACACACGUGCUACAAUGGACGGUACAACGAGUUGCGAAACCGCGAGGUCAAGCUAAUCUCUUAAAGCCGUUCUCAGUUCGGAUUGUAGGCUGCAACUCGCCUACAUGAAGUUGGAAUCGCUAGUAAUCGUGGAUCAGCAUGCCACGGUGAAUACGUUCCCGGGCCUUGUACACACCGCCCGUCACACCAUGAGAGUUUGUAACACCCAAAGCCGGUGAGGUAACCUUCGGGGACCAGCCGUCUAAGGUGGGACAGAUGAUUAGGGUGAAGUCGUAACAAGGUAACC
This 572-nucleotide ribosomal RNA is filed under the name uncultured Lactobacillus sp. RNAcentral describes it as "bacterial SSU rRNA". It matches the Rfam family "Bacterial small subunit ribosomal RNA", at positions 929 to 1501 of the family's 1533-position model. Lineage: Bacteria; Bacillati; Bacillota; Bacilli; Lactobacillales; Lactobacillaceae. The record is from RNAcentral.